UCGUGAGACAGUUCGGUCCCUAUCCGUCGUGGGCGUAGGAAAUUUGAGAGGAGCUGUCCUUAGUACGAGAGGACCGGGAUGGACGCACCGCUGGUGUACCAGUUGUUCUGCCAAGGGCAUAGCUGGGUAGCUAUGUGCGGAAGGGAUAAGUGCUGAAAGCAUCUAAGCAUGAAGCCCCCCUCAAGAUGAGAUUUCCCAUAGCGUAAGCUAGUAAGAUCCCUGAAAGAUGAUCAGGUUGAUAGGUUCGAGGUGGAAGCAUGGUGACAUGUGGAGCUGACGAAUACUAAUAGAUCGAGGACUUAACCAUAUAA
This 311-nucleotide ribosomal RNA is filed under the name Bacillus cereus. Its description in RNAcentral is "bacterial LSU rRNA". It matches the Rfam family "Bacterial large subunit ribosomal RNA", at positions 2619 to 2925 of the family's 2925-position model. Lineage: Bacteria; Bacillati; Bacillota; Bacilli; Caryophanales; Bacillaceae. The record is from RNAcentral.